AAUAGAUACCCGGGUAGUCCACGCCGUAAACGAUGAGUGCUAAGUGUUAGAGGGUUUCCGCCCUUUAGUGCUGCAGCUAACGCAUUAAGCACUCCGCCUGGGGAGUACGGCCGCAAGGCUGAAACUCAAAGGAAUUGACGGGGGCCCGCACAAGCGGUGGAGCAUGUGGUUUAAUUCGAAGCAACGCGAAGAACCUUACCAGGUCUUGACAUCCUCUGACAACCCUAGAGAUAGGGCUUUCCCCUUCGGGGGACAGAGUGACAGGUGGUGCAUGGUUGUCGUCAGCUCGUGUCGUGAGAUGUUGGGUUAAGUCCCGCAACGAGCGCAACCCUUGAUCUUAGUUGCCAGCAUUCAGUUGGGCACUCUAAGGUGACUGCCGGUGACAAACCGGAGGAAGGUGGGGAUGACGUCAAAUCAUCAUGCCCCUUAUGACCUGGGCUACACACGUGCUGCAAUGGAUGGUACAAAGGGCUGCAAACCUGCGAAGGUAAGCGAAUCCCAUAAAGCCAUUCUCAGUUCGGAUUGCAGG
RNAcentral lists this ribosomal RNA (529 nucleotides) under uncultured bacterium. RNAcentral describes it as "bacterial SSU rRNA". It matches the Rfam family "Bacterial small subunit ribosomal RNA", at positions 777 to 1304 of the family's 1533-position model. The record is from RNAcentral.